This 393-nucleotide ribosomal RNA is filed under the name uncultured bacterium. RNAcentral describes it as "partial 16S ribosomal RNA". It matches the Rfam family "Bacterial small subunit ribosomal RNA", at positions 523 to 918 of the family's 1533-position model. The record is from RNAcentral.
AUACGGAGGAUGCGAGCGUUAUCCGGAUUUAUUGGGUUUAAAGGGAGCGUAGGUGGGAUAUUAAGUCAGCUGUGAAAGUUUGGGGCUCAACCUUAAAAUUGCAGUUGAUACUGGUUUCCUUGAGUACGGUACAGGUGGGCGGAAUUCGUGGUGUAGCGGUGAAAUGCUUAGAUAUCACGAAGAACUCCGAUCGCGAAGGCAGCUCACCGGGCCGGAACUGACACUGAUGCUCGAAAGUGCGGGUAUCAAACAGGAUUAGAUACCCUGGUAGUCCGCACAGUAAACGAUGAAUACUCGCUGUUUGCGAUACACGGUAAGCGGCUAAGCGAAAGCGUUAAGUAUUCCACCUGGGGAGUACGCCGGCAACGGUGAAACUUAAAGGAAUUGACGGGG